Molecule: ribosomal RNA, 253 nt
Filed under: uncultured bacterium
Lineage: Bacteria
Description: partial 16S ribosomal RNA
Rfam family: Bacterial small subunit ribosomal RNA
Source: RNAcentral
UACGGAGGGGGCUAGCGUUGCUCGGAAUCACUGGGCGUAAAGGGUGCGUAGGCGGGUCUUUAAGUCAGGGGUGAAAUCCUGGAGCUCAACUCCAGAACUGCCUUUGAUACUGAAGAUCUUGAGUUCGGGAGAGGUGAGUGGAACUGCGAGUGUAGAGGUGAAAUUCGUAGAUAUUCGCAAGAACACCAGUGGCGAAGGCGGCUCACUGGCCCGAUACUGACGCUGAUGCACGAAAGCGUGGGGAGCAAACAGG